RNAcentral lists this ribosomal RNA (497 nucleotides) under uncultured bacterium. Its description in RNAcentral is "partial 16S ribosomal RNA". It matches the Rfam family "Bacterial small subunit ribosomal RNA", at positions 28 to 507 of the family's 1533-position model. The record is from RNAcentral.
GAUGAACGCUGGCGGCGUGCCUAAUACAUGCAAGUCGAGCGAACAGACGAGGAGCUUGCUCCUCUGACGUUAGCGGCGGACGGGUGAGUAACACGUGGAUAACCUACCUAUAAGACUGGGAUAACUUCGGGAAACCGGAGCUAAUACCGGAUAAUAUAUUGAACCGCAUGGUUCAAUAGUGAAAGACGGUUUUGCUGUCACUUAUAGAUGGAUCCGCGCCGCAUUAGCUAGUUGGUAAGGUAACGGCUUACCAAGGCAACGAUGCGUAGCCGACCUGAGAGGGUGAUCGGCCACGCUGGAACUGAGACACGGUCCAGACUCCUACGGGAGGCAGCAGUAGGGAAUCUUCCGCAAUGGGCGAAAGCCUGACGGAGCAACGCCGCGUGAAUGAUGAAGGUCUUCGGAUCGUAAAACUCUGUUAUUAGGGAAGAACAAAUGUGUAAGUAACUAUGCACGUCUUGACGGUACCUAAUCAGAAAGCCACGGCUAACUACGUG